AUAUAUCGAGCCUGAAAUAGCUUAUGACUGUUAGACACAAUUUAAUUGGAAUAUGUGUCAUGGAUUAUGGCUAGGUGGUGAGCCAUUGCAUACGGGUAAAGGACUGUACCUGCGGACUGAAAAUAGGAGUAUUUUUACUCCUAAUACCGGUGAGUGGACUUGCAUUUCAAACUUGUUUUGGGGAAUAUGAAAGAUUCUAUCCAACUUGUCUUAGAAAAUGUACCUUGGGAACAAGCUUUUAGUAAAAUGAUUUUAUAUUGUGAAAAUGUGCUAUACAAUGGUUUAUGUGUUAUCACAAUAUGAUAAAAUGCAUGAUAUGCAUUGGAUGCUUCUUUACAUGUUGAUUUUGACCCGGCUAUGUGCGAGUAGGAGUGCACAUAAGCCGUUGCUGACCCGGCUAUGUGUGAGUGGGAGUGCACAUAAGCC
This 426-nucleotide long non-coding RNA is filed under the name Theobroma cacao (cacao). RNAcentral describes it as "long non-coding RNA (TCAC_LNC003871)". The record is from RNAcentral. Lineage: Eukaryota; Viridiplantae; Streptophyta; Magnoliopsida; Malvales; Malvaceae.